RNAcentral lists this long non-coding RNA (2547 nucleotides) under Sus scrofa (pig). RNAcentral describes it as "lncRNA (ENSSSCG00005009645.1)". The record is from RNAcentral. Lineage: Eukaryota; Metazoa; Chordata; Mammalia; Artiodactyla; Suidae.
CAGUCCAUGCACUUGACAGCCUUGCACAGCCUCUGCUUCCCCACCAAGGAAAAGCCCUCAAGAGCCUGCACAGCAAGACUGCAGCCAGGACCGUGACGUCAGUGCCACCCAGAAACUGCUUGUCCUUCCAGAUCCUUCCAUGGGGAACAGAGGCUUUUAUUCCUCCAAUAGAGAUGCUGCUGAUGUGUGAACCAGAGCUUUGCAGCCUCUGUGUCCACCGGAUCAAGAGGUGUAUGAACAGACGGAUCCACGCAGGCCUCGGGCACGUGGACGGGGCUCAGAGCCACACUCCCCACCCUGACCAACCAGCCCCCUCUAGCCUUGGGUGGUGGUCCCAGCGACAGUACAAACGUCACCGUUCCCUGUGACGGACAGGAAGUGAAGAUAGUCAGAGGGCAGCAGAUCGUCCUGGUGAGCAGAUUUUCAACAGCGUGAGUUCUGCCAGAGGCACCCCACCCCCUCAGCUUUUUAGCCAGCCCCCGUCACUACCUGCAGGAGGUGGGGCCAGGGCUUUGGUGGAGAAAGAUUUGCAUAAAUCCAGCCAUCCCAGAAUCCUCCCUGGUCAAUUUUUUUUUUCCCCAUUCUUAUCCAAGAAGAGUCCAAGACUUUUAUCCAAGAGAAGAGUCUGCCUCAGCCAGCCUCAUGUCCUUCCUCUUCUCUGGCCCUGUGCUCGGAAUUCGGGAGCAGAUGUGGCAGCCUGUGACUGUGCCCUUUAGCCCUGGUGGCGGGGGACACCUCCCGUUACCAUUCUGCAGGAAGACUCCAGAACUGACAACCAGGCUUACCUCUGGCGGGUCCAUCAACCAAGUCCUCCUCCCCCCACACUGAAGGGAUUAUUUUAAAAAUGAGAAUGUGAUAGAUUUUCUAAGCCAGAGCUAUAUUGCUUUCCCCCAAAGCAGUUUUCAAACAUUUCAAAAAUGUUAGCUAGUGAGUCCAAAAGCUCCUUUUAUUCUUUCUGUUUUCUCCCACUCUGAAAAUACACACACGUAGAUCUGUGUACACAGCACACUUGAAGGCAUAUUUUCCAGGAUGUAACUAACAAAGGGAAGAAUGUGGUGGUGGUUGGAAUUCUGGCGCUUGCAAGACAUGGGUCUGUGCUCUGCAUUUCAGUACAGAGGUGAUCACACUGUUAUGGGCAGAGCAUCUGCUCCCUUCACCUGCAGCCUCCACCCUCCUCUUCCUCUGCUCCCUGACCUGACCCGAGAGGCGUUUGAACUAACACGAUCAAGGUGUCGGGACCAGUAUCCCACCCUCCCGCCACCGUGCUUGGCAAGUUCCCAGGGCCUGCAAGUCACACACGGGCCAAGUCGUGGCCUCUUUCCAACAAAAUGGGUACAUGUCCAUGUCAGGCCCAUCUUGCUGCCCUUCGUUAUAACUGUGGUCAAGGAGAAAGGAGUAAGUAGGCUUGGGUACUACAAGGCAAAGCAAUAUUCGAUAAUAUUCGAAUAUUGCUAGCAACAAUAUUCGAAAGUUUAACAUAUGCUUAUUUUCUAAAAUGUAAGACCUCCAUGGUGAUUGGGGGACUUGGGUGCCCGUCUUCAAUUCUUGUGCCGCAAAGGCCGGGAGGAAACCAUCCCUUUCCCAGGUGCUCUGACCUUGGCCUUGGGAUGCGUGGGCCCACUCCCCAUGUACAGAGGCGGCAUCCUUUGCACAUGGCAGGGCUGUGCGGAGAAACGGGCCCCUGGUGCCUGGGACAUUCCUUCACAGAGGCUCUCCUAGCAACAUGGCGACGCCAGCCAACCCAACAAUGACCUUUUGUCUCUAGCUCUCCUCAGCUCUGUGGCCAUUAGUCUCACCAGAAAACUCAAAGGAUAUUUUGCAAGAGAAGAGUGGUUGCGAGCUAAAGCUCUGAAUCAGUUGCUUUCCUCUGCUUUCUGCAAAUAUCAAACUGGGCUUGCGCCAGAUGAUCGCUUUAGGAGCAGGAAGUACCUAGAGAGGUGCCCUGGAUGGGGGAAAGCUGAGUCUGGAUGGCCCUCGUCCUGGCUCCGGGUAGGGAAGCCCCUCUGUACCACAUCCCUGAACUGUCUGGACCUUAGUGUCCUCAUCUUCCAAAUGAAGCACUAAUUCUCAACAGCGCAGAGUCCUUGCUAACAGUCCAGAUUCCCGAGCCAACAGUAGUUCCCCUGCUGACUCAGAAUCUCUGGGACUGAGCUCCGCCAACGUGACUUUUCACCAAAGGCCAAUAUAGACCUUGCUGAACAAUUGUAAAAACGCUUAGGUAAUUAACUUUCUAAUUUUGUUUACUUGGCACGAGAGGACCAACACACACACACUCAGGAUUGGUAUGCUACAUGCAUUGUGGGGAAUGUGUUUUUUUUUUCUGAUAGAGUUUGCAAAGGACAGAACCAGCCCAUUUUCUUUGCUGUUCCUGGUUAGUUAUCUUCUAUACAAGAAUGUAAAUCAUGCCUCUCUAUCGGCAAAUCACUUUGGACUGUGUGCUUCCAAUAGAUACACUUUAAAAAUUUUGAUAUAUCUGUAUUUACUUAUAUUUUGCUUUAGUAUGAACAUGUUACGACUGUGUUCCUAAUGUUAAAAAAAUAAAUGUUU